This is a non-coding RNA of Brachypodium distachyon (stiff brome), 116 nucleotides long. NCBI's taxonomy places the organism in Eukaryota, Viridiplantae, Streptophyta, Magnoliopsida, Poales, Poaceae. The record is from Rfam.
CAGGGUACCCUUUGACCCUUUUUAGUUCAAACAAAUGAACUAAAUUUUUAAAAAGUUGUGCUAUUUUGAAAUUUUAGUUCAUUUGGUUGAACUAAAGAGGAUCAAAGGGUACCCUG